GCUUACGGUCACACCCCCGUCUGGUUCACGCCCGAUCUCGUUUGAUCUCGGAAGCUAAGAUAGGUUGGUCCUGGUUAGUGCUUGGAUGGGGAGACCGCCUGGGAAUACCAGGUGCUGUAAGCU
This 123-nucleotide ribosomal RNA is filed under the name Scophthalmus maximus (turbot). The record is from RNAcentral. Lineage: Eukaryota; Metazoa; Chordata; Actinopteri; Pleuronectiformes; Scophthalmidae.